Molecule: ribosomal RNA, 1109 nt
Filed under: uncultured Termite group 1 bacterium
Lineage: Bacteria; Pseudomonadati; Elusimicrobiota
Description: bacterial SSU rRNA
Rfam family: Bacterial small subunit ribosomal RNA
Source: RNAcentral
CUGCGGCCUAUCAGGUAGUUGGCGGGGUAAUAGCCCACCAAGCCUAUGACGGGUAUCCGGCCUGAAAGGGUGAACGGACACACUGGAACUGAGACACGGUCCAGACUCCUACGGGAGGCAGCAGUGGGGAAUUUUGGACAAUGGGGGAAACCCUGAUCCAGCGACGCCGCGUGGAGGACGAAGGUCUUCGGAUUGUAAACUCCUUUUAGAGGGGAAGAAUAAAUUGACGGUACCCUCAGAAAAAGCCACGGCUAACUUCGUGCCAGCAGCCGCGGUAAUACGAAGGUGGCGAGCGUUACUCGGAAUUACUAGGCGUAAAGCGUAUGUAGGCGGUCAGAUAAGUCUCCAGUGAAAUUUCCCGGCUCAACCGGGACAGGCCUGGGGAUACUGUUUGGCUUGAGUGUGGCAGGGGUAGACGGAAUUCCUGGUGUAGCGGUGAAAUGCGUAGAUAUCAGGAGGAACACCGAUGGCGAAAGCAGUCUACUGGGCCAAUACUGACGCUAAUGUACGAAAGCUAGGGUAGCAAACAGGAUUAGAUACCCUGGUAGUCCUAGCUGUAAACGAUGUUCACUAGAUGCGGGAGGUAUCGACCCCUUCCGCGUCGACGCUAACGCAUUAAGUGAACCGCCUGGGGAGUACGGCCGCAAGGUUGAAACUCAAAGGAAUUGACGGGGGCCCGCACAAGCGGUGGAGUAUGUGGUUUAAUUCGACGCAACGCGAAAAACCUUACCUGGGCUUGAACUGCUAAUGGUAAAAACCGGAAACGGCAAUGACCCGCAAGGGAGUUAGCAGAGGUGCUGCAUGGCUGUCGUCAGCUCGUGUCGUGAGAUGUUGGGUUAAGUCCCGCAACGAGCGCAACCCUUAUCCCAUGUUACCCGUAGCAAUACGGGGUCUCUGAGGAAACUGCCAUUGAUAAAAUGGAGGAAGGUGGGGACGACGUCAAGUCAUCAUGGCCUUUAUGUCCAGGGCUACACACGUACUACAAUGGUCGGUACAGAGGGCAGCGAGAUCGCAAGAUGGAGCAAAUCCCUAAAAGCCGGCCUCAGUUCAGAUUGUGGGCUGCAAUUCGCCCACAUGAAGUAGGAAUCGCUAGUAAUCGCAGAUCAGCA